UGUGGUUUAAUUCGAAGCAACGCGAAGAACCUUACCAGGCCUUGACAUGCAGAGAACUUUCCAGAGAUGGAUUGGUGCCUUCGGGAACUCUGACACAGGUGCUGCAUGGCUGUCGUCAGCUCGUGUCGUGAGAUGUUGGGUUAAGUCCCGUACGAGCGCAACCCUUGUCUUAUGUUGCCAGCACGUGAUGGUGGGGACUCGUAAGAGACUGCCGGGGUCAACUCGGAGGAAGGUGGGGACGACGUCAAGUCAUCAUGCCCCUUAUGUCCAGGGCUUCACACAUGCUACAAUGGCCAGUACAGAGGGCUGCGAGACCGUGAGGUGGAGCGAAUCCCUUAAAAGCUGGUCUCAGUUCGGAUCGGGGUCUGCAACUCGACCCCGUGAAGUCGGAGUCGCUAGUAAUCGCAGAUCAGCAACGCUGCGGUGAAUACGUUCCCGGGCCUU
Molecule: ribosomal RNA, 444 nt
Filed under: uncultured Mycobacterium sp.
Lineage: Bacteria; Bacillati; Actinomycetota; Actinomycetes; Mycobacteriales; Mycobacteriaceae
Description: bacterial SSU rRNA
Rfam family: Bacterial small subunit ribosomal RNA
Source: RNAcentral